RNAcentral lists this ribosomal RNA (493 nucleotides) under uncultured bacterium. RNAcentral describes it as "bacterial SSU rRNA". It matches the Rfam family "Bacterial small subunit ribosomal RNA", at positions 28 to 507 of the family's 1533-position model. The record is from RNAcentral.
GAUGAACGCUAGCUACAGGCUUAACACAUGCAAGUCGAGGGGAAACGACAUCGAAAGCUUGCUUUUGGUGGGCGUCGACCGGCGCACGGGUGAGUAACGCGUAUCCAACCUGCCCACCACUUGGGGAUAACCUUGCGAAAGUAAGACUAAUACCCAAUGAUAUCCCACGAAGGCAUCCGAAUGGGAUUAAAGAUUUAUCGGUGAUGGAUGGGGAUGCGUCUGAUUAGCUUGUUGGCGGGGUAACGGCCCACCAAGGCAACGAUCAGUAGGGGUUCUGAGAGGAAGGUCCCCCCANAUUGGAACUGAGACACGGUCCAAACUCCUACGGGAGGCAGCAGUGAGGAAUAUUGGUCAAUGGGCGAGAGCCUGAACCAGCCAAGUAGCGUGCAGGACGACGGCCCUAUGGGUUGUAAACUGCUUUUAUAAGGGAAUAAAGUGAGUCUCGUGAGACUUUUUGCAUGUACCUUAUGAAUAAGGACCGGCUAAUUCCGUG